Bombyx mori (domestic silkworm) is the source of this 84-nucleotide non-coding RNA. The record is from Rfam. NCBI's taxonomy places the organism in Eukaryota, Metazoa, Arthropoda, Insecta, Lepidoptera, Bombycidae.
UUAUCUUAAACUUGUAUGAAGUUAGAAAGUUUGCCUACGUUUGCCGCUAGGGGCGCUGUUCCAACUGCAUACAAAUUUAUGUUA